RNAcentral lists this ribosomal RNA (433 nucleotides) under uncultured bacterium. Its description in RNAcentral is "partial 16S ribosomal RNA". It matches the Rfam family "Bacterial small subunit ribosomal RNA", at positions 29 to 507 of the family's 1533-position model. The record is from RNAcentral.
AACGAACGCUGGCGGCAUGCCUAACACAUGCAAGUCGAACGAGACCUUCGGGUCUAGUGGCGCACGGGUGCGUAACGCGUGGGAACCUGCCCUUAGGUUCGGAAUAACUCCCCGAAAGGGGUGCUAAUACCGGAUAAUGUCUUCGGACCAAAGAUUUAUCGCCUUUGGAUGGGCCCGCGUUGGAUUAGCUAGUUGGUAGGGUAAAAGCCUACCAAGGCGACGAUCCAUAGCUGGUCUGAGAGGAUGAUCAGCCACACUGGGACUGAGACACGGCCCAGAAUCCUACGCGAGGAAGCAGUGGGGAAUAUUGGAAAAUGAGCGAAAGCCUGAUCCAGCAAUGCCGCGUGAGUUAUGAAGGCCUUAGGGUUGUAAAGCUCUUUUACCCGGGAUGAUAAUGACAGUACCGGGAGAAUAAGCUCCGGCUAACUCCGUG